Molecule: ribosomal RNA, 490 nt
Filed under: uncultured bacterium
Lineage: Bacteria
Description: partial 16S ribosomal RNA
Rfam family: Bacterial small subunit ribosomal RNA
Source: RNAcentral
AUUGGACGCUGGCGGCAGGCCUAACACAUGCAAGUCGAACGGUAACAGGAAGAAGCUUGCUUCUUUGCUGACGAGUGGCGGACGGGUGAGUAAUGUCUGGGAAACUGCCUGAUGGAGGGGGAUAACUACUGGAAACGGUAGCUAAUACCGCAUAACGUCGCAAGACCAAAGAGGGGGACCUUCGGGCCUCUUGCCAUCGGAUGUGCCCAGAUGGGAUUAGCUAGUAGGUGGGGUAACGGCUCACCUAGGCGACGAUCCCUAGCUGGUCUGAGAGGAUGACCAGCCACACUGGAACUGAGACACGGUCCAGACUCCUACGGGAGGCAGCAGUGGGGAAUAUUGCACAAUGGGCGCAAGCCUGAUGCAGCCAUGCCGCGUGUAUGAAGAAGGCCUUCGGGUUGUAAAGUACUUUCAGCGGGGAGGAAGGGAGUAAAGUUAAUACCUUUACCCAUUGACGUUACCCGCAGAAGAAGCACCGGCUAACUCCGUG